CCUACGGGAGGCAGCAGUGGGGAAUCUUGCGCAAUGGGCGAAAGCCUGACGCAGCCAUGCCGCGUGAAUGAUGAAGGUCUUAGGAUUGUAAAAUUCUUUCACCGAGGACGAUAAUGACGGUACUCGGAGAAGAAGCCCCGGCUAACUUCGUGCCAGCAGCCGCGGUAAUACGAAGGGGGCUAGCGUUGCUCGGAAUUACUGGGCGUAAAGGGAGCGUAGGCGGAUAGUUUAGUCAGAGGUGAAAGCCCAGGGCUCAACCUUGGAAUUGCCUUUGAUACUGGCUAUCUUGAGUACGGAAGAGGUAUGUGGAACUCCGAGUGUAGAGGUGAAAUUCGUAGAUAUUCGGAAGAACACCAGUGGCGAAGGCGACAUACUGGUCCGUUACUGACGCUGAGGCUCGAAAGCGUGGGGAGCAAACAGGAUUAGAUACCCUGGUAGUCCACGCUGUAAACGAUGAGUGCUAGUUGUCGGCAUNNAUGCAUGUCGGUGCGCAGCUACGACAUAAGACACUCCGCCGUCGGGAGGUACGGUCGCGAGAAGUUAAACGUACGAAUAGUAAGUUAGUACGGUACGUGAGACGUGACCGACGGACGACGACGAGGGAGGAGG
Molecule: ribosomal RNA, 609 nt
Filed under: uncultured bacterium
Lineage: Bacteria
Description: bacterial SSU rRNA
Rfam family: Bacterial small subunit ribosomal RNA (bases 1-516)
Source: RNAcentral